UUUCUGGAAGACAAAAGCACAUUGAUACUUGUGUCAAGCGCCACCCUCAAGCACACUCCUGUUCACGUCAGCUCUGUGUGCCAGAAUCAGAACAGAAGCUGUGUCCUGUAUCAGAAUCUGAAAAAGCCCAAGUUGCAUGAAUGAAGGUUGGCCUGAUACAUCCACAUUCUUUCUCUCAGACCCUGCUGUGGCCAAGAGCUUGUAUUUUGUCAUCCAGACAACUGGAAAGAUGGGUUUCUUCUAUGUGACAUUCAUAAGCCUAUAAGGGAACCUGAAUCAUGACUUUGCUCUCUUAGCCUCAAAGAAGCUAGUAGCAGACAGCAUGUGUAUCUGGUGCAGGUCUAGAACCUGUCUGGCAGGCUGUGGACGGAACAGCACUCCAGGUAAGGCCAGAGUAUGAAAGCCUGGGGCCAGGCGGGUGAGCAUGUCAGGACUGAAUGUCCAAGCAACAUCUCGCUGCAGGACAGAUGCUGCAGUGACAAAGCCUCUUCCAAUGCUUCUUGCCUUACUGAACUCAUGGUUAGACUCAUUUUUAACAUUAAAGUGAAGUCAUCCCUGGCUGACAUCUUGACUUUUAACAUAUUAUACAAUAUAUAGUAACUUCAUUGUAUAAUAACAAAUCCAUUUCAUAUUAGCAAAUGGAAUGAGUUUGAAGGCCCAGGGUUGAAGCCUGGCUCUGCUACUUAUUAGCUAUGAUGGUUGAAAAUAUGUUUACAAAUUCUUUAACGUGCUAUUUUUAUUUUUUUUGAGCCAAGGUUUCAUUCUGUUGCUCCCAGGCUGAAAUGCAGUGGC
Molecule: long non-coding RNA, 792 nt
Organism: Homo sapiens (human)
Lineage: Eukaryota; Metazoa; Chordata; Mammalia; Primates; Hominidae
Exons: 3
Source: RefSeq, a predicted model, not a curated record